RNAcentral lists this ribosomal RNA (496 nucleotides) under uncultured Bacteroidota bacterium. Its description in RNAcentral is "bacterial SSU rRNA". It matches the Rfam family "Bacterial small subunit ribosomal RNA", at positions 397 to 896 of the family's 1533-position model. The record is from RNAcentral. Lineage: Bacteria; Pseudomonadati; Bacteroidota.
CCGCGUGAAGGAUGAAGUCCUCUGGAUUGUAAACUUCUUUAUAUGGGACGAAACCCUCGGAUUCUCCGGGAUUGACGGUACCAUAGGAAUAAGCACCGGCUAACUCCGUGCCAGCAGCCGCGGUAAUACGGAGGGUGCAAGCGUUAUCCGGAUUCACUGGGUUUAAAGGGUGCGUAGGAGGACUGGUAAGUCAGUGGUGAAAUCCCCGAGCUUAACUUGGGAACUGCCGUUGAUACUAUCAGUCUUGAAUACCGUGGAGGUGAGCGGAAUAUGUCAUGUAGCGGUGAAAUGCUUAGAUAUGACAUAGAACACCAAUUGCGAAGGCAGCUCGCUACACGAAUAUUGACUCUGAGGCACGAAAGCGUGGGGAUCAAACAGGAUUAGAUACCCUGGUAGUCCACGCCCUAAACGAUGGAUACUCGACAUACGCGAUACACAGUGUGUGUCUGAGCGAAAGCAUUAAGUAUCCCACCUGGGAAGUACGACCGCAAGGUUG